RNAcentral lists this ribosomal RNA (492 nucleotides) under uncultured bacterium. RNAcentral describes it as "partial 16S ribosomal RNA". It matches the Rfam family "Bacterial small subunit ribosomal RNA", at positions 29 to 507 of the family's 1533-position model. The record is from RNAcentral.
AGUGAACGCUGGCGGCAGGCCUAACACAUGCAAGUCGAACGGCAGCACAGUAAGAGCUUGCUCUUACGGGUGGCGAGUGGCGGACGGGUGAGGAAUACAUCGGAAUCUACUUUUUCGUGGGGGAUAACGUAGGGAAACUUACGCCAAUACCGCAUACGACCUACGGGUGAAAGCAGGGGAUCUUCGGACCUUGCGCGAUUGAAUGAGCCGAUGUCGGAUUAGAUAGUUGGCGGGGUAAAGGCCCACCAAGGCGACGAUCCGUAGCUGGUCUGAGAGGAUGAUCAGCCACACUGGAACUGAGACACGGUCCAGACUCCUACGGGAGGCAGCAGUGGGGAAUAUUGGACAAUGGGCGCAAGCAUGAUCCAGCCAUACCGCGUGGGUGAAGAAGGCCUUCGGGUUGUAAAGCCCUUUUGUUGGGAAAGAAAAGCAGCAGGUUAAUACCCCGCUGUUCUGACGGUACCCAAAGAAUAAGCACCGGCUAACUUCGUG